Molecule: transfer RNA, 98 nt
Filed under: Lasallia pustulata
Lineage: Eukaryota; Fungi; Ascomycota; Lecanoromycetes; Umbilicariales; Umbilicariaceae
Description: Umbilicaria pustulata tRNA-Leu
Rfam family: tRNA
About the family: Transfer RNA (tRNA) molecules are approximately 80 nucleotides in length. Their secondary structure includes four short double-helical elements and three loops (D, anti-codon, and T loops).
Source: RNAcentral
GGGAAGGUGGCCGAGUGGUUAUGGCGCUACGUUUAGGUUGCCGUAUUGGCCCGAUUCCGUAGUUCGAAAGAGCGUGGGUUCGAUCCCCACCCUUCUCA